This 199-nucleotide long non-coding RNA is filed under the name Olea europaea (common olive). RNAcentral describes it as "long non-coding RNA (OEUR_LNC002893)". Lineage: Eukaryota; Viridiplantae; Streptophyta; Magnoliopsida; Lamiales; Oleaceae. The record is from RNAcentral.
UUCCAUCGAUGUAAAGACGUGUUCAUAAGGGUUACUUGGUGAUGGAAUCUUAGUAGAAAUAUUAUUUAAUUUAGUUUUUAACUUUGACACUUAUUUUAAGAAACAUAAUUAUGGUUUGAUUUAAUAGAUUUUAUUAGAUAUUUCCACUUAAAAUAGGAUAUUUGAAACCCUAUAUAAAAGGCUUUAUGCAUUGUAAUAG